Molecule: ribosomal RNA, 504 nt
Filed under: Botryosphaeria dothidea
Lineage: Eukaryota; Fungi; Ascomycota; Dothideomycetes; Botryosphaeriales; Botryosphaeriaceae
Description: eukaryotic LSU rRNA
Rfam family: 5.8S ribosomal RNA (bases 141-294)
Source: RNAcentral
GUGUACCUACCUCUGUUGCUUUGGCGGGCCGCGGUCCUCCGCGGCCGCCCCCCUCCCCGGGGGGGUGGCCAGCGCCCGCCAGAGGACCAUCAAACUCCAGUCAGUAAACGAUGCAGUCUGAAAAACAUUUAAUAAACUAAAACUUUCAACAACGGAUCUCUUGGUUCUGGCAUCGAUGAAGAACGCAGCGAAAUGCGAUAAGUAAUGUGAAUUGCAGAAUUCAGUGAAUCAUCGAAUCUUUGAACGCACAUUGCGCCCUUUGGUAUUCCGAAGGGCAUGCCUGUUCGAGCGUCAUUACAACCCUCAAGCUCUGCUUGGUAUUGGGCACCGUCCUUUGCGGGCGCGCCUCAAAGACCUCGGCGGUGGCGUCUUGCCUCAAGCGUAGUAGAACAUACAUCUCGCUUCGGAGCGCAGGGCGUCGCCCGCCGGACGAACCUUCUGAACUUUUCUCAAGGUUGACCUCGGAUCAGGUAGGGAUACCCGCUGAACUUAAGCAUAUCAAUA